This is a long non-coding RNA of Hypanus sabinus (Atlantic stingray), 7251 nucleotides long. RefSeq lists it as uncharacterized. The transcript is spliced from 4 exons. The record is from RefSeq and is a predicted model, not a curated record. NCBI's taxonomy places the organism in Eukaryota, Metazoa, Chordata, Chondrichthyes, Myliobatiformes, Dasyatidae.
AUUUUACACUCAGCAACAAGUCUAACAAAUAACAAUAAGCAAAACAUUGUUUGGAGUGGAAGUUCCUAAACUAUGGAGACAGGAAAACAACAAGAUUCAUGGAAGAGCAGCCGUGUGGAAGUGAUAUAUGGGGGAGAACUUCUUCAUAAGGGUUCUUUUGAAGACUCUGACCUGGAAUUACACACAGGCUACGGUUCUUUGUGGGAAUGGGGCCCACUCUCGGGGUUUCACGACUGGCCAUUAUUCAACACACUCAGCUCAGAUCGCUGAGAUCUUGUGGCUUUGGAGACGGGUGGAUCGAAGGUCAAUGUCCAGGCAGGAGUUGGGUGUGUCGUCGGAGAUGGGAGAUCUAAGGCUGUGUGCCUAGAGACCCAAGAUCUUUGGGCACAGAGCUUGGAAAAAGCCACACCUUUAACAGUGUAAACCAGCGAAUUGUUGUUAUGCCUCCCCUCUCACUGUGAAAUGGAAACAUCACCUUCUCCCUCAUUAGGGAGAGAGAAAGAGAGGCUGUGGUCUAUCAAAUACUGGAUGAACAAGUCGUCUUUGGAGUGCUGCAAGUCUGUGUCUUUGCUGUUGCUUUGCCCACGCUUGAGUCCUCAGUGGUCACCUAGAAAAAGCAAGGCACCAAGACAUCAAGAUAAUGUGAAUUUUUAGGACGGACUUUAAAUGGUUCUCAUAAAGGAAGGCUGUAGGAAGCAAAAAGUUUAAGGUAUUCUGAGUUAUAUUAAGUAGUAUGUGUAUUCUCUAUGUGGACGGUGAUGAUCCAACACAAAUACCAUGAAGAAGGAUUUCUGGAUUCUGCUGAGCCUAGAAAUAAUGUUUUUUUGUGGGUUUUCUGACCUGUAGUGUGGGACCUUGUCAGUUACGCUUGCUUAUUUUUACCCAAUUGAGGUGGAGAUGCAGCCAUAAACUUGAGGCUCCCUUAUCUCCUCCUUGAUGGUAGUCAUGAAAAGAGGGCAAGUCUUGGAUGAUGAGGAUCCAUAAUGACACAUUUUGUCUACUUGAGGCACCACCUUUUGACGAUGUUGUUAAUGGUGGGAAAGGAAUUCAUCAAUGGGAUAUUCACUCCUGGCUUUUGAAAUGGAAUUCUACAGAUGCUAGACCUUGUGUCCUAGUAAGCUUAUGAAAUUUCUAUUCGGUGACAGAAUGGAAUGAUGAUCUGAGGUGCCAAUGAAAUAUAGUUUUCAAAUGAACCCACAAAAGUAUUGCAGAAGUAUUUAAGGAAAUAAUUCCUUCUCUUGCAUAAAAAAUUUAUCUAUUGUAAAUUAAUAUUAUAUCAUCUAGUAGCAUAAUAGGGGCUCAUAGAGGAGAUAAAAUAUAUUAUUAAUAAUUUUAUUAUACAGGCUAUGUUGUAAUAGCCUUACUGAGUUAAUCAACAAUAUUCAAGUAGAAUUCAAAGCAAUGAAAAAAUUGUGUUGAUGAAAUGUUUCUUGACAUCUCUCAGAAAUAUCUCAAAGUGUUUUACAUUCAAUUACUCAGAAGCACAGUGACACAUACAGUAUAAUUAAACGUAGUAGACACCUUGAGCACGCACAGCCCCACACGUAGAAUAGAGAUAACUGGCUGACUGACGCCUUAAAUAACAGAGGCAGAACAUUGGUAAAGACAACAAGAGACACUUGUUUUUUCAAUGAAUGCAACUCAGAAAAUUGCAGUGCUAACCUGAGGCAAGUUCACAUUAGGAAAUUAAUAGAACCUUAGAAGAUACAAGGAAGUCAUUCUAUUCUUUAUGUCCAUGAAGACCAAAAAGCUUUAGUGACUAACUUCUCUUAACAGCUUUUCCUUUGUAGUCUUGUGCAUCAAGUGAGUUGACCACUAUUUGUAUGCAUAUAGAAUAUAGAACAGUACACGUAGGAACAGGCCCUUCAGCCCACAAUGCUUAUACUAGAAAUGAUGCCACAUUAAACUAAAUCUCUUCAGCCUGCACAUGAUUGAAAUCCCUUCUUUGACUGCGUAUUCAUGUGCCUGACUAAUGGCCUCUUAAACACCACCACAAUUGAAACCGAAUCCAUUAACAUUCUGGCAGUGUUUUCUCGAGCCUAUAGUACCAUACUCUGUGUAAAAGAACCUGUCUGCAUAUCUGCUUUAAAUGUUCCCCUCUCACCUUAAAUUCCUCUCCUCUAGUAAUUGAUAUUUCUACUUGAAGAGAAAGAUUCUACCCGAUCAAUGCCUCUCAAAAUUUUAUAAAAUUCUUCUGUCUGCAUUUGACUCUCCUGAGAAAACAACCCACUUUUGCCCUUAAUGCUCAUACCCUCUAAUUCAGGCAGCAUCCUGGUUAACUUCUUCUGUAUGCUUUCCAAAGCUUCCCUGUAUUUCCUGUAAUGGGUGGCCAGAACUUCUAGAGAAUCCUUCAUCGUAUUGCAACUAUAUAAACGACUGAGUAGUCCGUAGCUGGAGUAGAAAUUUCAAUACAUCACGUUUUAAAUAAUUUCACCCUAAUCUCACAACUAUGUCAGCUCAUUUGAGAUUCUCCCACUAGUUUAAACUUCUGGAUAUCUGUUCUACGCCCGCAACAGAAUUACUCCUCAGUCUUUUAAACUCUUAAGAAUAUAGAUCUGAUUUCUUUCACAAUUUGUGAUAGGAAUACAUCUAUGGGCUGAGAUCCCACUGUGCAUUAUCACUGAUAAUAAAUGUCAAAUUCCUCCGAGGAUGAUUUUAACACAACUAAUGGGUUAAUGAAUGUGUUAAAAUGCAUUAAAUGUGUUAAAAAUUAUGCACAUGGGAACUUAAUACACACCAUUAAUGUCAGUCAUAGACAGGUUCAGGAGAUUUACAGAUUGGAACAUGAAUGUUUGUUUCACACAAUGGAUUAGAAACUCAACACUUGAAGAUUGUCUUGCAUUCGUAAUAGUGUGUGAGAUCACAUGCUACUGAUACACAUUUUAUCAUAUUCAAUUUCAUUUACUAGAAGGAAGCUGAGAAAUUAUUACUUUAAACAGCAGAUACUGUAUCUAGCAUGUUGGUAUGUUAAAAUCCUAAGCAAAUUCAAUUGUUUUUUUUGAAAUAAAAUUGAAUAUUUACUUGCAAAGUAAAAAUUUAUGGCAAACCAAUUAAGACCAUGAAUAGCUGUAAUGACACAGACAUGCAGCCAAUUUUUUUUUGUACAGUAUAUGGUAUGUUUAAUCGUUACAUUGGAUUCUAAAAGCAAUUUCAUUAAGUGAGGAGUUCCAAAUUGGGAAGGAUGCUGCAAAUGCAUCAGCCAAAGAUCCUUAGUCAUGGGAAGAUUAGUUGAAUAAGGAGUUGAAGGUAGUUGGGUCUUAUAUUGGGUCACAUCUUAUCCUGAGGAAUGCUUGCAGCAGUGACUUCGGGUUCAGAUGUCUGGCCUCCAUCUACCAAAGACAUCUUCUUUUUUAAGACACAGUUUGACUCCAAUAAGGAUAAAUGCAAGUUUGCAUUGUUUUCCACAACUGACUUCAAUUUUACUGGACCCUUUAAUGUUAUCUCAGUCCAAUGAUAGCUAAAUAUUCAAUGCCAUCACUCACAAGUCAUCUCUCUAUUUCUCCUCCAUCCAUGCAUGGACCAAGAAGUCUGGACCUGACAUUUUUUUUGCAAAACCAAAGCUGAACAUUGGUGAUGGAACCUGCUUGGGCUGUUAUGACAACACACACAAAAUGCUGUGUUCUACCAGCAUUUUGUGUGUGUUGUUGUUUGAAUUUCCAGCAUCUGCAGAUUUCCUCAUGUUUGGGCUGUUAUGAUUUUGCUUUUAUUAUGCUUGCUGUGUGCAUUUCCUCACAAGAAAACCAUGUGUGUAUUUCCUCUAAGUCUGUGCAGAAUUCUGAACGUACUCAGCACCUCUGUUGUGGUGGUAAAGAAAGUGGUCAUUGUUCUGUAUCAUGCAUUAGCCACUUGUCAAAUGCCUAUAUGCUGCAGUUUACACUGGCAACAAGGAUGUAUAAAAGAACUGGAGUGUAAUUGUUCCAAUUUGAGUAUUUUUGGUUGCAACCCAGGAUUUAAUUUUCCUAUUGAUUUCAAUCUGGUGUGAUACGUUUCAUUGCAUACUGUGUCUGAAAUUAAGUCGGCUGCCAGUUAACCCCGCAGCUGCCAAGGAUACAACAAAUUCUAACACUUAAUCUAAUUUAUCUGUCUCAUGAUUAGAGAUAAACAGUAAUGCUCAGUACAUCCAGUGCACCAGCACUUUACUUGCAUAUAGCCAGGGCCGUACCUCAUCUUGGGCCAACCAAUGUUCAUUCUAAGUAACCUGCAGUCCCGUUCCACUGGGAAAAGUGACUUUGCAGGUUUGAGAAGUGCCACAGGAUAUGGAAUCACAGAUGAUUUAAGGGAAACCUCAAUCCUGCCAAGUUGUGGCGAUGAAGGAUUAGAAAACGACACACUAUCACCUACAACUGCUAACUGCAUUGACGCCAGGGCACAUUUCAAUUCCCAUCAAAACUGUGUUCUGCUGUACAAGGCAAAAAGAGAACAGAGCAGCUAAUCCAGACUGCACAUGUUUGAGGCAACUUGUGGCAGAGUAUUAUUUUACUGAUACUGAGUAGGAGACAAAAUGCCGAUCACUGAAUACUGCAUCUCUAAGCAACAGACAGAAGGCCCUCGGGAAGGAUUUCAAAAUGCGAAUUGGCUGAUUAGGGGAAUAUCUGUGGUGUUCAAAGCAUUGAGCAGCUAGGAGAGAAAGACCACAAAGUAAAAUUGUGAGUGGGAUCAGAAAACAAAAUAAAUAAAGCAGAUUUUUCCCCAGCUGACAUAGUCAACAGUGAAUUACUUGAGCCAUUGAGAUAGGCAGAACUGCAGUGGAAAAUACCGAUUGAAGCAGGAUGCCCUAGUGUGGAGACACCAUGCACAUCAUCCAUUUCAUGAGGGCUUGUACUUCAGCAAACCCACUGUGACAGAACUCAUCGGACCAUGUAACAAGUUUUGAAGAAAAAACAGAAGUCUGCAACAGCCCUGAGUACACAUUAGCUAUUCACUUCACUCAUCAGAGCACUCAGCUGUGGGUUGAAGAGAAUAUUUGCAACCUGCAAAUCAAUGUGCUGUUAUGAUACAGGCUGAUCUGCAAUUUCACUGCCACCCUAAUCUAACAGAGAGAAAAUACCAGGAAGUUUCCUUGCAACAGCUCUGCACCUUUGACAGUUCUAAGACAAUUUCCAUUGCAAAUAACAUUUGAGUCUAAGCAUGUCAACAUGCUUUCUACGUAAUCUCAGGUGACCAUGCUACUCUUCUGAGGUUUGACACAGAGUCAACUCCUCACAGUGCGGAGGUCACAAGGAGAAUUCCAGCAAUCAGUCCCUCUAGUCACGAGGAAAGGUCACAGAACAGAAAACUAGUUAUGCAAAUAGGAGCACGGAGCCCAAACUGCAAUGGAAACUGCAACAAAACAACAUGUUGUUCUAUUUCAGUGCAUAACAGGAAUGUAAGCACAAAUUUGCACUGUAAAAGAUGCUCCCUCUAGUGGCAAUGCACAUACAUUGCAAGCUUUGCACGAAGUUCACAAUGAACUCAUGAUCACACCUACGUCACAUAAAGUGCUAUGAUGUAAUUAUUUUAUCAGCCUAAUGUCACUCGCAGAAAGCAUCAGAUAUUUCUUAUGAAGACCUAGAGAGAAUCAUCAAAACUAAUCAGCUAAUAAGUUGAGUUGAGUUUUAAUGUUAUUUGCAUACAUAGAAUAAUACACAAGUGCAAUGAACAACUUGCUUGCAGCAGCAUCCUUUAUGGUUAAGACAAAAUUAGCUAAAAACUAAUAUGUCAAGUUACAAUAUGUCAUACUUCACAAUUCAAAGAGUUCAAGCUUGUAUUAAUUUUGCCGACUUAAUUCUGGUUAUCAUUUGUUCGUAAUUGCUAAGCCCUGUUUAGGCCCUACCAUGCAGACUGUCAAUACUCCAUCCGUAAGAGCUCCCAUUCCAGAGCUUCAUUGCACCUUAUUGCUCUUGGUGGAUGGAUAGGGAACAACCUUUCAAUAGUGAUAGCGUUGCAGGAGGUUUGCAAUUUUGAUUUUAUGCAAAGCAAGUUCUCACCCACUGAACACCCAACACAGAUAACUGGAGAGAUAUAUGCAAACACUAAAGAAAUGUCUUCAUUCUGCUCAUACUGGAGGGAAGUCAUGGAACAGGAACAUUUAAGUUUUUAAUGAAGUUACAGAACUGUGCUGCUUUGAUGCCAAAAGUAGUGCCAGCUACAUUUGAUUUUGCACAAGAAAUGCAUAUAUGUCUUCUAAUUGUUACCUGGGAGAUAGCUGAUUGGCAUGACAACAUUUCAAAGCCAAGAAAAGCACCCGGAAAACCAGCACAGAGAAGCAGACGACUUUCAGAUCAGCACAAAUCCAGCCGCGGAUUUGUGUCUUCUGAAUGGCAAUGGCCACGUAUGCAAGAAAGGAAAUCUGUAUUACACUCAACCACUUGAAGGUCACACCAAAGAAAUGCAGUUCAUUCAUUUCUGCCUCAGUCACUGCAUUUCACAUGAUCUGUAUACCCAGACUGAAUUCGUGUUGAUCUGAAAUUUGUAUGUUUCUUUGUCUUGUUUCCCUUUCCCACACAGCAGGCAACCAUUUGAAGUUACCACCACAAAAGUUUAUAUGAAACAAUCAUUCUUCAAUGAUUACAUAGUCCAUGCUCAUGAGCCCAAAAUAGAUAACCUCUUCUAAUGUCCUCUCAUCCAGGAAACAUUAGGCACCAUCUAAGCCCUGUGAUCAGAAACCUCACUCAUAUCCAAGAGACUUUGUGCCAUGUGUUAGAAAGACUGAAAGGCUGAAUAAAGUUAUUUCAGUUCACAUGGGAAGGAAUAUAAUGUUGUUAUUGUUAUGUUUGUGCAUUUCCUUGAAGAGAAAAAAAUACGUGUGUGUGUUUCCUCCUUGUGAUUAUGUACGUUUCUGAGCACACCGAAUUUCUUGUGUCUGGUCAUAAAGAAAGAAGCCAUUCAACAUCAUGUGGUAGGAAGUUUGUCUAGUUUAUCCUAUAUAUCACAGGCCUAGCAAAUGCACAUCACAACUGUUGUUGGGCUCUUCCAUCACUGGAAAACAUUGAGUCAGAAAUGGAUUUGUCCUUGCUGGGGCAAUUUUCCACAUUGUUGAAGAGGUAGCAAUAGUAUAGGAUAUGAACACAAUGCUGCAAGAACUCAGCAGGUCAGGCAGCAUCUGUGAGAAAAGAGUAGCCAAUGUUUCAGGCCGAGACCCUUCAUCAGGAAUGGGGGGGAAGAGAGGGCCAAAGCCCAGUAAUAGAGAUAGGGGAGGGGGUAGGGCCUAGAGGCGUCAGGUGGAAAACCGUUCAGAGGAAAGAUAAAGGGGGGGAAGGGAUAAGCAUGAAA